Molecule: ribosomal RNA, 468 nt
Filed under: uncultured bacterium
Lineage: Bacteria
Description: partial 16S ribosomal RNA
Rfam family: Bacterial small subunit ribosomal RNA
Source: RNAcentral
GACGAACGCUGGCGGCGUGCUUAACACAUGCAAGUCGAACGGAAAGGCCUUCUUUCUGUGGGGUGCUCGUGUGGCGAGCGGGUCAGUAACACGUGAGUAACCUGCCUUCUAUUUCGGGAUAACUUCCGGAAACUGGGGCAAAUACCUGAUAUGAGCUCCCGCCGCGUGGGGGGGGUUGGACAGUGUCGGCGGCUGGGGUUGGACGUGCGGCUUAGCAGCCUGUUGGUGGGGUAGUGGCCUCCCAAGGCUUCGACGGGUAGCCGGCCUGAGAGGCGGACCGGCGACAAUGGGACUGAGGGAGGGAGCAGACGCGUACGGGAGGCAGCGGUGGGGAGUAUUGGACAGCGGGAGGGAGGCUGAUGCGGCGACGCCGGGGGCGGGAUGACGGCCUUCGGGUUAUGAACAGCAGUCGCCUGUGACGAAGCGGGGGUGACGGUAAUGGGAGAAGAAGCACCGGCUAACUACGUG